This 89-nucleotide transfer RNA is filed under the name Burkholderiales bacterium PBB6. RNAcentral describes it as "tRNA-Leu". It matches the Rfam family "tRNA". From Rfam's summary of the family: Transfer RNA (tRNA) molecules are approximately 80 nucleotides in length. Their secondary structure includes four short double-helical elements and three loops (D, anti-codon, and T loops). Lineage: Bacteria; Pseudomonadati; Pseudomonadota; Betaproteobacteria; Burkholderiales. The record is from RNAcentral. RNAcentral also lists the same sequence under 1 other name.
GCCCGGAUGGCGAAACAGGCAGACGCAGCGGACUUAAAAUCCGCCGCCCUUAAUCGGGCAUACCGGUUCGAACCCGGUUCCGGGCACCA